This 660-nucleotide ribosomal RNA is filed under the name uncultured bacterium. Its description in RNAcentral is "bacterial SSU rRNA". It matches the Rfam family "Bacterial small subunit ribosomal RNA", at positions 28 to 701 of the family's 1533-position model. The record is from RNAcentral.
GAUAACGCUGGCGGCGUGCCUAACACAUGCAAGUCGAACGCCCUUGCCUCUCGCAAGAGAGGCAGGGAGUGGCGGACGGGUGAGUAACACAUGGGUGACCUACCCCCCAGUGAGGAAUACCGGCGAGAAAUCGCCGACAAGACCGCAUAGGGUCUCUGUGGUCAAGCACAGAGAGCAAAGUCUGGCAACAGACGCUGAGGGAUGGGCCUGUGGCCGAUUAGCUAGUUGGGGGGGUAAGAGCCUCCCAAGGCGACGAUCGGUAGCUGGUCUGAGAGGACGAACAGCCACACUGGGAUUGAAAACGGCCCAGACUCCUACGGGGGGCAGCAGUGAGGAAUUUUCCGCAAUGGGGGCAACCCUGAGGAGCAACGCCGCGUGCAGGAAGACGCUUUUCGGAGUGUAAACUGCUUUUCUGUGGGACGAGCGUGGACGGUACCACAGGAAGAAGCCCCGGCUAACUACGUGCCAGCAGCCGCGGUAAUACGUAGGGGGCGAGCGUUGUCCGGAGUUACUGGGCGUAAAGGGCAUGCAGGCGGUCGGACGCGUUUUCGGGUGACAGUGGGUGGCUUAACUACCCCGAGCGGUCCAAAGACGGUUCGACUUGAGGACGCGAGAGGGACACGGAAUUCCGGGUGGAGUGGUGAAAUGCGUAAAAUCCGG